Molecule: long non-coding RNA, 3250 nt
Filed under: Mus musculus (house mouse)
Lineage: Eukaryota; Metazoa; Chordata; Mammalia; Rodentia; Muridae
Description: long non-coding RNA chr3:44659901-44663151
Source: RNAcentral
UGUAUGGGUUAGAGAGAUUAGAGAGAGUGCCAGACUCCAGGAUGAGAGCUUCCUUGAAACUCUUUUUGCUUCAUGAGCAGCUUUUAAGCCUCUCGGCUUGUCAAACUGACUCGACCGGAAUGUGUGGCAGGCAUAUCCAAUAGGUAAGAAGGAUACAUGCUCCACUAUGUUCAAAGCAGCCUUAUUUAUAAUAGCCAGAAGCUGGAAAGAACACAGAUGUCCCUCAACAGAGGAAUGGAUACAGAAAUGUGGUAUAUUUAUACAAUUUAGUACUACCCAGCUAUUAAAAAGAAUGGAUUUAUGAAAUUCCUAGGCAAAUGAAUGGACCUGGAGAGCAUCAUCCUGAGUGAGGUAACACAAUCACAAAAGAAUUCACAUGGUAGUUACUCACUGAUAAGUGGAUAUUAGCCCAGAAACUUAGAAUUCCCAAGAUAUAAGAUACAAUUUGUGAAACUCAUGAAACUGAAGAAGAACGAAGACCAAAGUGUGGACACUUUGCCACUUCUUAGAAUUGGAGUCAAUCACCCAUGGAAGGAGUUACAGAGACAAAGUUUGGAGCUGAGACAAAAGGAUGGACCAUCUAGAGACUGCCAUAUCCGGGGAUCCAUCCCAUAAUCAGCCUCCAAACGCUGACACCAUUGCAUACACUAGCAAGAUUUUGCUGAAAGUCCCCUGAUGUAGCUGUCUCCUGUGAGACCUGCCGGGGCCUAGCAAACACAGAAGUGGAUGCUCACAGUUAGCUAUUGGAUGGAUCACAGGGUCCCCAAUGGAGGAGCUUGAGAAAUUACCCAAGGAGCUAAAGGGGUCUGCAACCCUAUAGGUGUAACAACAAUAGGAACUAACCAGUAACCCCUGGAGCUCAUAUCUCUAGCUGCAUAUGUAUCAGAAGAUGGCCUAGUCGGCCAUCACUGGAAAGAGAGGCCCAUUGGUCAUGCAAACUUUAUAUGCCUCAGUAUAGGGGAAUGCCAGGGCCAUGAAGUGGGAUUGGGGGGUUAGUUUGGGGUAGGGUAUGGGGGACUUUUGGGAUAGCAUUAAAAAUGUAAAUGAAGAAAAUACCUAAUAAAAAAAUAAGAAAAAAUAAGACACUGGAAAGCUUUCCUUAUGAUAGAAGGUUAUGAAAGGAAUCAUCUGGGAAUCUGUGAGAUGCACUGAAGACUGACCUGGCAAGACAUGCACAAUUGUGGAACAGUGAUAUGAGCAUCAUUUAGUUGUCAUAUGCUUUUGUUUGCCUUAUUUCCUGUUUUAAAGGAACAAAUUCAGAUACAGCACCGUUACUGAGCCAAGAAUCUAUAGUUAUAUUAGCCCUAUGGGAGAACUGGCUACUGUUUUUUUGCUAAAUAGACAUACUAUUAAAAUUGACUCCGGAUGAUUAAUUGUCAAACCUAUAUAUCAGAAGAUCUUUUAUCCCUCAUCUGAGAAGCUUCUAUAAGCAAUAGAUGGCAAUUACUGCAGAAAUUUGCCCCUGUCCAAAGAGUAUAAGAGACUAUAAAAUAUGUCUAAAUGGGAAAGAUGCAUCAUAAUCCUUGCUCCUGUGUCUAAGAAUAAUUGCUGAAUACAGUGGAAAAGUGGCUGAAACAGAGAAGGUGAAUGACUACAAGGGAAAUUGUAUUAUGGAUAUAGUAGGACAGGUACACAUAUGAACACACAGUGGUUAAGACAGCAGUGUAAAACCUACACUAGCUAAUCCAGACAAGAUCUCAGCAUGGAGGAAAAGUUGGGCAUGAAGUCCAACUCCUGCCAUAACUCUGGACAACUCUUAGGUGCUGGGAAAGAAGGUCAGUGUUUUUCUAAGGAUAUAGGUCCUAAUAAAUGGAGCAUAAGGAAGCAGAAAACUCCACAUCCAAAAACUUAAGGGCAAUAUAACAUGGGCUUGAUGUUUUGUGUUGUUGUUGUUGCUAUUGUUGCUGUUGUUCUUCUCGUUGUUGUUCUUGUUGUUGUUCUUGUUGUUGUCCUUGUUAAAAAUUGGAUAAAAAGGAACAGGACAAGGAUUUAGAAAGAGUUAGGGUAAGGAAUAAAUUUGAUGAAAAUUUAUUGUGUUCAAUUCUCAAAAAAGCAUAAAAACCUAUAAAAAUUAUGCACUCACUGAUAAGUGGAUAUUAUAUAUAUAUAUAUAUACUUUACAUAAUAUAAGUUAAUAAAAGUAGAAACUCUAAGCGUGUUACAUGAAAUAUUCCACAGUGAAAACAUUUACUAAAGAAAGCAGCCCUUCAUAACAUUUGGAAAAAGUAAAAUUGUUACAAUCGAAGAAGAUUUGGUCACUCUAGCUAAUUUUUAGAAAUGUGUUGGGAGAUAUCUGUUAUUGAAACUGAAAGUGAAAAAUAUUUUAAUUCAUUUAAAUGAUGAAAUAAUAUUUUCGAAAAGAAUGGGUUCAUAAGGAGAUACACAUUUUAAUGAAGUAAUGAGUACUUUAAAAGCCUUUAAUCAUACUGCUCAUAAAGCAUGACUAAGAUGCUUGCAUUUUAAGACAGUGCUGCUUUGUAUUCAAAUAGAAUGACAUUUUAAUUCAUAAAUAUGCAUGAUUGCUUAUUUAGAUGAUUCUAACUUUUGUAGCAUUAUUUAACUUUUAUAAAUAAUAAAAGCAAGAGUAGGCAAGAUUUUAUUCUUCACGAAAUAAAGCUAUUGUCUCUAUUAUUUGUGAGGUAAGAAAAGAAAGACUGUUUAGCCACUGUUAGAAGUAAUUAGCACUUGCUUAAACCUUUAGAAAGGUGAGCAAGGAGGUUAAUCAUGAGAAAAAAGGAAGAAAACAUAAGUAAGUAGAGGGUCAAAAGAAGCAUUAGCAUUCAAGUGAAUGUUUAGAUAAUUCUUCUAACAAAUAUUAAAUUUAAUUCCAACACUGGAACUUGUUAUUUUUUCUACAUAUAUAGGACGCUACUUUGGCUUUCUUACUACCCAUUAAUUCUGACCAUUACACAAAUAGAAAAUUAUAUAUUUUCACAAAUAAAUAAUUAUAAUAAUUUAUGAAGAUAAAAAUAGAUAUAAAGGGGGAAACCAGAGUUAAGAGUUAACAUUCAAGUAUAUGUGCCUUCAGAUGAAAUAUAUUUGUUCGAAAAUCCUUGUUAUCUGAUCAUUGGUACUUCCUAACACAGUUUCCUAGUAGUUUACAGUAAUAGGUGUCAGUAUCUCUGACACUGGCAUGCACAGAUUUCUGCUACUUCUUCAGUAUUAAUGUAUUGUGAGGCAUGGCUCUAGCAAAGGAAAUGAAAGAAAGCAGCACCUACACACAGAAGAAAAGUACAAAAUCCCAACUCCC